GGCGCGUGGCGCGAGACCGGCCGUUUUGAGCGUUGCCCGGGGAGUGCGGGCUGGCACCCUACGCGGGGUUGUCAUGGGAACCGCUCGUUCUCUGCGACCCUGCCCGAGUCUGCAGAGAGCCUGGACCCAUCGCCCUGGGGCUGGCCCCGCAGUGAUGCUGCAGCAACGCUGGAUGAGCUUGCUAAGAGCCUGCACCAAUAGCCCCCAUAGACUACUGACCCCUCAGUAACCUAUACAGCGGCGCUGGCUAAGCCUGCAGCGAGCCUGCCCCAUAGCACCAGGGAGGCUGGCCCUAGAGCGGCUGGUACAACCACACUGCUUGAGCCUGCAGAAGUGACCAACAGAGCAAUGCUGCCUGAGUCUGCAGAGAGCCUUCGCAGGCUGCCCCAGUAAAGGGGAGUUAGCCCAGCGUGACCGAUACAGUGAGUCUGCGGAGAGCAUGCAGCGAUACCCCAAGUAAAUGGGACUGACCCCAUAGUGACUGACAUAGCAAUGCUGCUUUUGUCUGCAGAGAGCCUGCACCAGUAGCCCCAAGAGAGUGGCCUGACCCCAGGGUGACCAACACAGCGACCCUAUCUGAGUCUGCAGAAAGCCUGGACCAAUGGCCCCAAGAGAGUGGUCUGACCCCAGAAUGGCCAACGCAGCGACACUGCUUGAAUCUGUACAGACUUAUAGCAUCAGAGGAGGGGACUGACCCCAUCUGCAGAGAGCCAGGACCAAGAGGCCUGAGAGGGAGGGGAAUGACCCCAUCCUAACUGACGGUGCAAUAUUUGCACAAGUCUGCAGAGCCUGGAAUGAUAGCUUUGAGAGGGAACUGCCCUGUGCAUCUCUGCAGAUUGUUACUACCACGGCUAAAGACAAUGACACUGAUAUCCAUCUCCUUGCUGAUCACAGCCUGAAGAAGAGGGAUGAGCAUAUUACCAACAGCUCUACAGUCUGCUGUAGGAGGAGCCGGAGAUCCUGAGAAGCAGAUUGGAGAUCUGUGGCCAAUGGAGCCCCAGGGAAUAAUGCACGCUGAGGAGCCCAGAGACCUACUACCCCAUGGACUACAGCUUCAGGAAGCAUGCUUCUGAAAAGAACAUGCGAGUUCCAGCCUCUGACGGAAAUCAAAGGACAAUUUAUUGCCAGAGAAGAAUUCGAGCUCAAUGAUUUGUUUCUGCAUUACCAAUAGUUUUUUAACUCUGACCUCGUGAUUUUUGCUUUCUUUUGGCUGUUCCUUCUCUCUGUCUCUCUCAUCUUUCUGGAGAAUUUCCCUUAAGGAAUUCCCAGCGAUGGCUCCUCAGACGAAGAUGUGAGUGGCUGACAUUAUGUAAUGUUUGGCAUUUGGCAUUCCCAUGGUAAUG
Molecule: long non-coding RNA, 1343 nt
Organism: Mauremys mutica (yellowpond turtle)
Lineage: Eukaryota; Metazoa; Chordata; Testudines; Geoemydidae
Exons: 3
Source: RefSeq, a predicted model, not a curated record